This is an RNA transcript of Populus nigra (black poplar), 1195 nucleotides long. RefSeq lists it as uncharacterized. The transcript has 4 exons. The record is from RefSeq and is a predicted model, not a curated record. Lineage: Eukaryota; Viridiplantae; Streptophyta; Magnoliopsida; Malpighiales; Salicaceae.
CUCUCUCUCUCUUCUUUUCAAUAUCCACAACCAAAAUCUUUCCUUAGUAAUCUCCCUGUAUCUGUAUCACCGAAAACAUCCUUUGAUGGCUCGCUCUCUUUCUGUUUCUUUAACAAAAACAUAUUGCUUAACAUCACCAACGAGAUUCUCUUCUCGUUUGCUUACCCUUAGAGCACAAUCAAACAUUCCUAACAGCAACAGUCCAUCAGAAACUGAUGAUUCCUCUUCAUCAACCGACCCCUUGCUUAGAAAGCUAGAAGAUGCAAUCCAUCGGAUCAUUGUGCGGCGUGCUGCACCUGAUUGGCUACCUUUCUUGCCCGGAUCUUCUUACUGGGUCCCAUCUCCUAGAUCUACAUCUGGCUCUCUUGGGAUUGCUCAUCUUGUUGAGAAAUUGGCUAAUCCUUUGUCCGAUGAGGAGUCCCUUUCCACCACUACUGUUAGAGGAUGGCCCUCCUCUGAUUACUUUGUUAAAGGUGCACCUGCACAUAUGAUGGAGUUAAAGUUGACUUCGAAGGAAGUAGAGUCAGAUACUACUUCAAGUAACGUGUCUCACUCUGAGGACGAGGAAGGGUAGAUCAAAAUUCGUACAAAAUUAGCUUCUGGGCUCAUCCAAGCAUGUAAAUUUUUUGUAGAAUCAAGAAAAGUGAAACAAGUCAAACACCAACUGAAUCACAAUUUGAUCAACUGGAGCUUUUCAGAUGCGACUUGGUGUGGUAGCAACUGUGUUGUUUGUGAUGCCCUUUCUAGCUUGCUGGCUAUGGUGUUUUUUAUUUAGUUCAGAAAGAAGAAAGAAGUACGAGCAGUGUAAUCAAGCUACCCAACAGCUAGCAUUCACUUAACCCCCCUCCUCCAUUCCCCACCAUGCCAAUCUCACUCGGUUUCUGAUUGUUUUACUUAUGCAUCAUGUUUUGUUGAUAUCUCUUUACUUCGUGGUCCUGGCGAUUCUUGGUGUCUCUGCUGUCAAAGACUGCUUAGUAUACUAGUACAGUGGUUUCUCAAUCCAAUUCUCAUGCUUCAUGAGGUCUUUAUAGUUGCUUCCAACCCCAAUGUGCUGUUAGAGGUGCUAGAGCUGCUGUCAUUCAGCCCCCAUCUUGUUUCAUCACUUAAACUUCAAAAGUUUUAUAUCAUUAUUUUCUGGAAGUGCUAAUUUGGAUGCCUUUUGAUAUUUGAUUCAAGAAAAAUGCGAUUCAGAUCC